UGCGACGGCCUGUCAGAAGGGUAAUCAUUUCUAAGAUUUACAGUCCGUGGACGAGCACCACACUGCUUUAAAACAAAGAGCAGGUUCGUCACCUACCAACGUCUUUUAAAUGGUUGGACUGUAGCGCACCAGGAGCUGCAGCAGGGAUGAGGAUCCGGCUGCAGGGUCCCGGCCACGCUGCCAGCCUUCUCACUGAGCUCAACCGCUGCCGGCAAUCACGCCAGUACUGUGAUGUGGUCCUGCAAGUUGGCAACCGCACCUUCGCAGCCCACCGUGCAGUGCUGGCCUGCGCCGGGACGUACUUCCGUAACCUGUUCGCACGGGCUCCAGCCUCGCCCACCGCCGCCUUCUCUUUGGAGUUUAUCUCCCCGGCCAACUUCGAGAAGGUGCUGACGUUCGUCUACACGGGGGACAUCUUGACCGACCUCAUAGAUGUCGGGGUGCUGUAUGAGCUGGCUGAGAGGCUGGGCGUUAGUGAACUGGUGAGGGCCUGUCAUGCUACCUUCCCCGACCUGCAGGCUUCUGAGUCUGCAAACUGUAAAGCCGGUAGUCCUGAAGACCGCUCCCUGGACUCUAGCAUGGUCGCUGCUGCCGCUGCUGCUGUGUCCACAGUGGCUGCCGCUGGUGCAGCUUCUGCAUCGUCUGUGUGUUCUUCUGCCGCCUCCUGCUCGUCUCUGUCUUCAUCUGCUGCCCCGACCCCUGCUGCCGCUCCCUCGCCCGUCUUCCAAGCCAGAACGGCUAGCGCCGGUUGCAAAGCUCACGCCGGGGCUCUGUCUCUGGAGCUGAAGGCAGAAGACAUGCAGUCUCAUAUCGGCUACGGGCAGAUGGCUGCAGAUCAACCACUACCAGGAGGUCCGAUUGAUGGCGUGCUGCCUCCGGGGCCUGUGCUCCAGCUGAAGAUUGAGCAGGGCCUGGAGGAGGAGGAGGCAGAGGGCAGCCGUGAGGACAGAGACACAGACGGACGAGUGGUUUCUGAGAGCACAGGAAGCUCUCUGCCUCAGAGCAUCGACGCCGCACCGCCCGACUCCUGCUCCUUCGCCGACUCCUCAGCUCCACUCGGAGAUCAGGCCUGCGACUUGGCAUCGUCCUCGGAGGAGCCUGGAGGCGGCCUGCAGGUGGGAUCAGUGGAGGGCGGCGUGGUGGACGUCCGGAGGGACGGCAGGCUGAUGUUCGGAGAGGUGGAGGAGGGUGAGAACGAGGAGGAGAGGGAGGCUCUGAGAAGGAAUGGAGCCACGGAGGGAGCUGAGGAGGAGGAGCAGUGGAGACAGCUGGCAGGGGAGAUCAUCGAGCUGAGCGACGAUGAGACCUUCAUGGACGAGGGAGACGAGGAGGACGAUGAAGACGAUCUUGUGUAUGUGGAGAAUGGAGAGGGGGGGAACUCAAGCAGCCAGGUGACGGGGAACAUGCUGUCGUGUAAAGCCUGCGCAGUGCCUCUCCCAGCGGACUCCGCCGCCAUCAGGAGACACGCUGAGACCCACCUGACGGAGCUGGGGCACUGCAGAGUGUGUGGGGCCUCGUUCCCGGACCGCCCCGCCGCUGUCGCCCACUCCCUCUCCCAUGUGGGGGUGCAGCUCUUCACCUGCGACAUGUGUCACUUGCAGUUCUGCAGCCAAAACAAACUGCUGCGCCACCACCGCCAGACAGCCUCCACUUACACCAUACCACAGGUGGCGCUGACCAACAGCAGCCAGGGACUGGAGCUGCAGUGUGCAGUGUGCACCAAGACCCUCAGCAAGGACUUCCAGACGGUCAAAGACCACCUGCUGAGCCACGUGUGUCCCCAGAGCCUGAGCUGUGGCGUGUGCCACCUCCCCCAGCUCUCCUUGUGCUCCCUGCUGUGGCACGCCCUCGCCCACCUAUCGCUGCCCAUCUUCACCUGCCCACACUGCGCCCGCUGCUUCGUGGAACGCUCCAUGCUGGACAGACAUAUGAUCGCCCACGCCGAGGAGGCGGCAGCUAAGGAGAGGGAGCGCUCGGCGCUGAGGGCGUACAGAGUCCGGGCGGACGGAGGCGCAACGACAGGAGCGGAGGAGUUGCAUUGCUUCCUGUGCCCACAGACUUUCCGCUCCACCUCGGCCUUUCAGUACCACCUCAGCCUGCACACUAGCGAGUCCCUGGCGGGGGUUGGAGGCGCCGGGGGCCAGGGCUGGCUGGGCAAACGUAAAGCCGAGUCUCUGGAGUGCCCUCUGUCCACAUCGUCUCAACGGGAGGUCGGCGGCCUCGUUAAAAUGAGCAACCUGGGCAUGGGGCUGGGAAUGAGUUUCGGCAUGCCGGAUAAGUUUUAUCAAGGGUCAAUGCACAGCGUGCCCUCUGGGGCGACGAGCAACGGGAGUUCAGGGCAGGACGGGGGAGUCGGGGCGGCGGGCAUCCGCGAGAAAUGGUACCGGUGUCGCUACUGCGGCAAACGCUUCGCCCACUCGGGGGAGUUCACCUACCACCUCCGCAUUCACACCGGCGAGAAACCCUACCAGUGCAAGGUCUGCCAGCGCUUCUUCAGAGGCCGCUCCACCAUGAUCUGCCACCUGAAGACGCACGCCGGCGCCCUCAUGUACCGCUGCACGGUCUGCGGCCUUUUCUUCUCCACGCUGAAGCUGGUGUCGUCACACAUGGAGCUCCACAAGGACCACCUGCCCCCGGACUUCAACAUCGAGCAGACCUUCAUGUACAACGAUCACUCUAAAGAACCGCUGCCCGCCGUGGACACCUGAUGUGUGCCCGCCUGGCUUCUCUCCUACACCUCCUCUGUGUCUGGUUGUCGUGGACCACAUACUGCAUAUACCGGUAGUCGAAUAGGGCUGAUACUAACGAUUCUUUUCAUUAUCGUUUUUCUUUUAAAUUGCUGUAAAAUGUCAAAACAUUUUAAAAACGGUUGUCACAUUUGCUCUUAAAAUGUUUGAGUCUGAGCUCUUGGCCCCGUCUUCCUGAAAAGCCCAGUCUGCUCUGAUUGGUGCUUGCUCAGCCAGCACCUACUGUAUGAGCAGCACAGAUGAAAAGCUGGGCUGGCUUUCUCAAUCUGUGACAUCACUAACUGAGGAAUUUCAAACAGGUAUGUGGGCGAGGCGUUUUCAGGCAGAGAAGUAGUGCUGGCUGGGGGGGAGAGGAAGCUCCAUUUGGAGUGAAAUGUGUUUCUUUGUACUUUAUACAUUUAUUACACACACUAAA
Sander lucioperca (pikeperch) is the source of this 3162-nucleotide RNA transcript. It is a transcript of the gene named zinc finger and BTB domain-containing protein 39, with no coding region annotated. Lineage: Eukaryota; Metazoa; Chordata; Actinopteri; Perciformes; Percidae. The transcript has 5 exons. The record is from RefSeq and is a predicted model, not a curated record.